RNA transcript from Bicyclus anynana (squinting bush brown), 6066 nucleotides. It is a transcript of the gene named transposable element P transposase, with no coding region annotated. The transcript is spliced from 7 exons. The record is from RefSeq and is a predicted model, not a curated record. Lineage: Eukaryota; Metazoa; Arthropoda; Insecta; Lepidoptera; Nymphalidae.
UUGUCAAUUAUUAAACGAAUUUUCAAAUUUCAAUUUUGAAUUUUCUUCAUUUUAAAUUUUUUAUACGAGUUGAGAAUAAUUUCCGUUUUCGAGGAAUUGAGGAAAUUUAAAAUUUAAUAAAAUAAAUUUUGUGAAUAGAUAGCUGGUUUGAGAGGAUUUGCAAAUGCGAUUUGUGUAAUUUUAAAGUGCCUACUACCUGUACCUACUUACGCUGUGAUUUUCCUGAAAUUGGCUGCUUCGUUAAUACGGCUGUCAAUAUUUUUGGAAGGACUCUUGGAUGUAAUAACCUACACAAGAAAGAAUAUCUUAGAGAAAAUCAAAGAGGCACCAAACCUCACUAUGGGAAAUAGCAUGUAUAAGUGUACGAAAAAAAGAAAAGACAAUUUCAAUGUCAAACAGUUACGAAAAGCUAUAAAGUUAUCAAAAAAUUUAAAAUUUCAGAAACAUAUUAGAACAUUUUCUGCAUUAUUUAACACAGAUAGAAUGAAAGAAAUUCAUAAGCGUACACGGAGAAGGGUGUUCACAGAUAGAGACAAACUCAUUGCUCUCAGCCUCUACAAACAGAACCCACACAUAUAUAGGUUGUUAUGUAACAUUUAUGUACUGCCUCCUGUACCGUUGCUUCAAAAAUUGGCAUCAGAAUAUUCACCUGGAAUGAAUGUUCGAGUAUUAGCAAAACUAAAACUCCGGGCUGAAAGAUUGAGUAAAUUAAAAAAAAUGUGUGUCCUUAUGUUUGACGAAGUCGUUGUAGCACCAACUGUCAACUACAAACAAAGAAAACAUCUCAUAAAGAGAGGCAUGUCUACAUACGCUGAUCGUGUUUAUAUUUUCAUGAUCAGGUUGAUUUUCACAAAAAGAAACCAACCGGUCGCUUACAAGUUCUCUGUCGGAAGGUUGAAUCCAUUAUACAUGCAGAUGUGCAUAAAUUUUAUUAUAAGUGAGCUACAGUACUGUGGAUUCAAUGUUAUGGCUACUGUAUGUGAUCAGAACGUUAGAAACAUUGCAGUUAUUAAUGCUUUGAUUGCAGACACAAAUGAAAUAUAUAAAGAUAUCAACAAGAACCGUGAAGGUGCAGUUUUUGUACUGAACAAGCAGGUGAUUGCACCAAUGUAUGAUGCCUCACACCUCAUCAAGGGCAUUAGGAAUGAUUUGAUUGAAAAUAAUCUACACAUGACAAUUGGUGACAAUAUCUGUAUAGCAAAAUGGGAACAUAUAGUAUCGUACACUAAAUUUGUAACGUAUCUUCUGACCAAACGACACGUGGACCUGAAGAAAAUGAACAGAUUAGAUGCUGAGUGUGCAAAAUUAACUAUGAGUGAUGGGGAUGGACGAUUUAUGAUGUCGAUAGCACACUCGCGUGCUCGCUGUGUACAGUCUGAGCCAAAAGGCUUUCCUGUAGAGGCUAUGUCCACAGGCUGUGUUAUGAAGUUCUUCGGUGAGCUGACCAAGUCUAUGAGUGGUGGUUACUCUGAGUACAGGGAAGAUGAGCCCCUUCUACGGGGGGUAUCACGCAAAUCUGUGCACAACAAACUGUGGGAAUCCUCUGCAGAAGCGCUAAAGACCGCUAAAUUCAUAGACAAAGAAGGAAAAGAAGUAUCCACACAUUCAAUAGACUGUUGGAUACAAACAUUGGAUAAUGCGAGGUAUCUGUCAAACAAAAUGUUCAAAAAAUUUCAUAUUCGAAAGUUUUUCAUCACACGUUUCAAUAUGUACCCACUGCAGGAGUUUAUUAGACGUAUACGUUUGUCAUAUGGAUGUCAUAAUAUUAGAACUUAUGAGAUUAAAUAACUCCUAAGUAUUUUCGCCUAGGAUGCGCACUACGGCAUAACUCGAUUUCGAGAAGAUAUAAAAACAAGUGUCGACCAAUAGCAACAGCAAUCCAAACAUGUCUCGGUGCGUUGGAGAGAAUGACAGAGAUAUUGGGUAAGGGAAAAAGUAAUCCUUUUUAAUCGACUUCAAAAAAAGGAGGUUCUCAAUUCGACGCGUAUGAUUUUUUUACUGUAUGUUAACUUUAUUUCUUAAAUUUAAAAAUUCUUUUUUGUGUGAAAGAAUAUUGGUCCCAUUUAAUUUUAGCCGCCUUAGCGGUAGCACAUAAGAUGUUAUUUUUCGCUUUUUAGUAUAUUUUUCUAAUUUUAAAGUCGGUUAAAUUUUUUUGUUACAAAGACUUUAUUUUUAGAUAGGUAGUAAUGAUCAUUAUCUCUUAUGUAUUUAUCAAUGAUAUUCAUAUUUAUACUAAUUUUAUAGGUGACAUUUCCCUAAAGAAUUUUUUUUGCGGUUUUUUUUGUUUUGUUAUUCAGGAAGGGUAAUAGACUAUUAAAAUCAAUUACUAGAUGGUUUUGCCAUUAGGGGCCAAGACUUUGAGAAAGAAGAAAAAGAGGGGCCAAGACUUUGAGAGAGAAGAAAAAGGCAACAGAUUAAGGAAGAAAAUGGUGUAGCGUAAACAUGGAUUACUUUUUCCCAAAACUAAUAUUUUAGCUUUGCGGCUAUUGGUUGACAGUAUAUAUUUUUUCUUGAAGUACCUAAUAGGAGUAUGUCGUUGAUUGUAUGCUAGGCCUAUUGGAAUUGUUAUCAAAUACACAUAGAAGUAAGUGUUUGAAAAUGUGAUUCAAAUAUGCUCAAUAAAUAACAUAUAAGACUGUUUUCGUUUGGAUGUUUUAAUAUGGACCCCCUCGGAAUGUUUCUCAAACGCUUCCAGAAAUACUGAAAAUGUAAGAACUUACGAGAUUAUUACCUCGAUCAAAAAUACGGUUGAUCUGAUCUUGACGGCCUCCGUGGCGCAGUGGAUUUACAAGACGGAGGACCUGGGUUCAAUCCCCGGCUGGGCCGAGGUUUUCUUAAUUGGUCCAGACCUGGCUUUGGAAGGCUUGUGGCUAGUUACCACGUACCGCCAAGCUAUUUAGCGUUCCAGUACGAUGUCAUCUAGAAACCGAAAUGGGUGUGGAUUUUCAACCUCCUCCUAACAAGUUAGCCCGCUUCCAUCUUAGAUUGCAUCAUCUUACCAUCAGGUGAGAUUGUAGUCAAGGGCUAACUUGUAAAGAAUAAAAAAAAGACAAGAUCUUCUUCGUCUUCUCAGCGCUUUUUGAUUUUAUUUGUUCCGUUUAUAUUAUCUUCUACUCUUUAAUAAAAUCAUAACUUUUAUGUCGCACUAUAGGUACAUGCUGACUGUUUCGAUUGUUUUGAUAGGUACCAUAACUCAUAAGUAAGUACCUUUUCCUUAAUGAACUUUACUUUAUCAUACUUUUUUGCUUACUGGCUUAAAUAUUUUGGUGAAACAUGGUGAACGUGAUUUAUAAUGUUUUCCACUGACGAUCAAGUAAUCUCACAUGCCUGCUACGAUAACGGCUUGGCAACUGAUAAAACGGACGUCAAGCCGUUAGCGCUGCGGGCAUGUGAGAUUGAGAUUACUUGAUCGUCAGUGGCUGACAUAAUUAUUUUCUCUGUCUACGCUUGGAAAAGUUUGAUUGAACUUUGAAAAGUCUGUGGUAACUGGUACGGUUUUCUAGUCUAUGGGUUUAUGGUUAAAAAUUAACGACAAUUUUAUUUUACGUUUACGAAAGAAAUGUGAUAAUUUCACGAGGACGCUUGGAAAGAGUACUUAAUUUUGUGGAUUUUUGAGAGGUUUUGCAAUUGCAAAUGCAAUUUGCAUCAUCGAAGAAUACUCAUUGUUCUGAUCCUGAUUCCUGAAGUUUGAGUUAGCUGCUUAAUUCGUGUAAACGGCUGUCAAAUUUUUACUAGGAAGGAUUGAUUUUUACUUUUAUAAGGUAUACUUAUAGAAACAUCAAACCUUAAGUAACAAAGAGACACAAAACCUCACCAUGGGAAAUAGCAUGUUUAGGUGUAAGAAAAAAAGAAAAGACAGUACCAAUGUGAAACGGUUAAGAAAAGCCAUAAAGCUAUCACAAAAUUUAAAAUUUCAAAAACAUAUUAGAACAUUUUCUGCAUUAUUUAACAGAGAUAGAAUGAAAGAAAUUCAUAAGCGUACACGGAGAAGGGUGUUCACAGAUAGAGACAAAUUCAUUGCUCUCAGCCUCUACAAACAGAACCCACAUAUAUACCGGUUGUUAUGUAACAUUUAUGUACUGCCUCCUGUUUCGUCGCUGCAAAAAUUGUCAUCAGAACGUAUUUCACCUGGAAUGAAUAUUAGACUAUUAGCAAAACUAAAACUCAGGGCCAGAGGACUGAGUAGAGUUGAAAAAAUGUGUGUCCUUAUGUUUGACGAAGUUGUUAUAGCACCAACUGUUGAUUGUGAACAAAGAGAACAUCUUAGAAGGAUAGAUAUCUCCACAUAUGCUGAUCAUGUUGUAAUUUUCAUGAUCAGGUUGAUUUUCACAAAAAGAAACCAACCGGUUGCUUACAAGUUCUCUGUCGGAAGGUUGAAUCCAUUAUACAUGCAGAUGUGCAUAAAUUUUAUUAUAAGUGAGCUACAGUACUGUGGAUUCAAUGUUAUGGCUACUGUAUGUGAUCAGAACGUUAGAAACAUUGCAGUUAUAAAUGCUUUGAUUGCAGACACAAAUGAAAUAUAUAAAGAUAUCAACAAGAACCGUGAAGGAGCAGUUUUUGUACUGAACAAGCAAGUGAUCGUACCAAUGUAUGACGCUUCACAACUCAUCAAGGGCAUUAGGAAUGAUUUGAUUAAAAAUGAUCUACACAUGACAGUAGAUGACGAUGUCUGUGUAGCGAAAUGGGAUCAUAUAGUCAAGUAUACUGAAGGUGAACACAUAACGUAUCGUCUGACUAAACGUGAUGUGGAUGUGAAGAAAAUGAACAGAUUAGAUGCCGAGUGUGCUAAACGGACUAUGAGUGAAGGGGACGGAGGACUUAUGAUGUUUAGGCUCAAAGUGCAUAUUGAGGUUGCUCAGUAUAUUCCAGCGAUCAAAGACACCAUCAUUCCUAGUAUCGAGCCUACGUACUACACAGGUCGUGUUAUGAAGUUCUUCGGUGAGCUGAACAAGUCCAUGAGUGGUGGUUACACACCAUACAUAGAACAUACGAACCUUAGACGUGGAGUAACACGUAGAUCUGUGCACCGGAAACUGUGGAAAUCCUCUGCGAAGGCACUGCGGACGGCCAGAUUCAUAGACAAAGAUGGAAAAAAAGUUCCCUCACAUUCACUAGACUGUUGGAUCCAAACAGUGAACAAUGCGAGGUAUCUCUCAAGCAAAAUGUUCAAUAAUAAUAUUCGAAAGUUUUUCAUCGCACGUUUCAAUAUGUACCCUCUCCAGGAGUUUAUUAGACGCAUACGUUUAUCAUAUGGAUGCUAUAAUAUUAGAACUUAUGAGAUUGUAUAACUCCUCUAUAUGGACUCCUAUAGACAUAUGAUGCCUAAAGGAGUCCAUAUUUGUUGUGUGCCUCAACAUAUCUUGAGAUGAGAUAAAGAGCAAUGUCGACAAAUAACAGUGUGACAUUAUAUAACACCUCAAUAUGGACUCCUAUAGGCCUCAUCAUCAUCAUCAACCCGUAUUUGGCUCACUGCUGAGCUCGAUUCUCCUCUCAGAAUGAGAAAGGUUAGGCCAAUAGUCCACCACGCUGGCCCAAUGCGGAUUGGCAGACUUCACAUACGCAGAGAAUUAAGAAAAUUCUCUGGUAUUAAGGUUUCCUCGCGAUGUUUUUCCUUCACCGUUUGAGACACGUGAUAUUUAAUUUUUUAAAAUGCACAUAACUGAAAAGUUGGAGGUGCAUACCCCGGACCGGAUUCGAACCCACACCCUCCGAAAUCGGAGGCAGAAGUCAUAUCCACUGUGCUAUCUCUGCUCACCCUAAUGAUGAGGACUCUUAUAGGCAUAUGAUGCCUUAAGGAGUCCUUAUUGUGUUGUGGUGUGCCUUAAUCGAGACGAUAUGUUGAGACGAGAUAAAGACCUAUGUCGACCAAUAACAGCGCAAUAGUACUAUCAAUUGUGGCUUUGGGAUGGAAGAGCGAUAUUUCAACUGUGUUAUAGGUUGACAAUAUGCCUUUUUCUCUGCAAGUGAUACCUCGUUAAUGCCUAUUGGAAUGUUUGUCAAAUACAUAUAGAAAUAUGUAUUUAAAAAUGUGAUUUAGAUAUGCUCAAUAAAUAAAAGACAGUGUUC